CGCAACGCCGAGCCCGACGCACAAUGCCUGCUCUGUCACGGCGCGUUUUGUUCGUUCGGCUCGCGUUGCGC
This is a non-coding RNA of Petromyzon marinus (sea lamprey), 71 nucleotides long. The record is from Rfam. Lineage: Eukaryota; Metazoa; Chordata; Hyperoartia; Petromyzontiformes; Petromyzontidae.